AAUGAACGCUGGCGGCGCGCCUAAUACAUGCAAGUCGAGCGAGAAGACGUAGCAAUACGUUUGUAAAGCGGCGAACGGGUGAGGAAUACAUGGGUAACCUACCCUCGAGUGGGGAAUAACUAGCCGAAAGGUUAGCUAAUACCGCGUACGCUCCUUGGACUUCGGUUCAGGGAGGAAAGCGAUACCGUGGGUAUCGCGCUCUUGGAUGGGCUCAUGUCCUAUCAGCUUGUCGGUGAGGUAACGGCUCACCAAGGCUUCGACGGGUAGCUGGUCUGAGAGGACGAUCAGCCACACUGGCACUGCGACACGGGCCAGACUCCUACGGAGGCAGCAGUAAGGAAUAUUGCGCAAUGGGCGAAAGCCUGACGCAGCGACGCCGCGGUGGGGGA
Molecule: ribosomal RNA, 389 nt
Filed under: uncultured bacterium
Lineage: Bacteria
Description: bacterial SSU rRNA
Rfam family: Bacterial small subunit ribosomal RNA
Source: RNAcentral